This 254-nucleotide ribosomal RNA is filed under the name uncultured bacterium. Its description in RNAcentral is "partial 16S ribosomal RNA". It matches the Rfam family "Bacterial small subunit ribosomal RNA", at positions 524 to 777 of the family's 1533-position model. The record is from RNAcentral.
UACGGGGGGGGCAAGCGUUGUUCGGAAUUACUGGGCGUAAAGGGCUCGUAGGCGGCCAACUAAGUCGGACGUGAAAUCCCUCGGCUUAACCGGGGAACUGCGUCCGAUACUGGAUGGCUUGAGUUUGGGAGAGGGAUGCGGAAUUCCAGGUGUAGCGGUGAAAUGCGUAGAUAUCUGGAGGAACACCGGUGGCGAAGGCGGCAUCCUGGACCAACACUGACGCUGAGGAGCGAAAGCCAGGGGAGCAAAGCAGG